Molecule: ribosomal RNA, 293 nt
Filed under: uncultured bacterium
Lineage: Bacteria
Description: partial 16S ribosomal RNA
Rfam family: Bacterial small subunit ribosomal RNA
Source: RNAcentral
GGAUUAGAUACCCUGGUAGUCCUUGCUGUAAACGAUGUAUACUUGAUGUAACUGGAAUCAACCCUAGUUGUGUCGAAGCUAACGCGAUAAGUAUACCGCCUGGGGAGUACACUCGCAAGGGUGAAACUCAAAAGAAUUGACGGGGGCCCGCACAAGCAGUGGAGCAUGUGGUUUAAUUCGAUGCAACGCGAAGAACCUUACCCAGACUUGACAUACAGUAGACGAUGUUAGAGAUAGCAUUUCCCGUAAGGGCUGCUGUACAGGUGCUGCAUGGCUGUCGUCAGCUCGUGCCG